UCCUCAAGAGCAAACCGCCGGAAAUCAUCACCAGCAAUCGCCGGAAACCGUCACAGAGAGAUGGGAACAUCAGAAACAGCCUCUGCAAAAUACAGAGUUCAGUCCUACAGAGCUACCGUCGCAGAUCAUGAUAGAAAGGUGAGGGAGCUUUCUUCCAUUAUCUUCAUCAUUUUCUUUUUGGAAACCCUGGCACCGG
Long non-coding RNA from Rosa rugosa (rugosa rose), 196 nucleotides. RefSeq lists it as uncharacterized. NCBI's taxonomy places the organism in Eukaryota, Viridiplantae, Streptophyta, Magnoliopsida, Rosales, Rosaceae. The record is from RefSeq and is a predicted model, not a curated record. The transcript has 3 exons.